Molecule: small RNA, 85 nt
Filed under: Enterovibrio coralii
Lineage: Bacteria; Pseudomonadati; Pseudomonadota; Gammaproteobacteria; Vibrionales; Vibrionaceae
Description: Pseudomonas sRNA P9
Rfam family: Pseudomonas sRNA P9
About the family: P9 appears to be conserved in several Pseudomonas species in addition to Bordetella spp.
Source: Rfam by way of RNAcentral
CGAAUUAUUAUCAUCAUUUCUUAGGAAAUGGUGGGAUAGUUUGCGUCACUAGAAACUUUCAAAACCCGCCUAAGAGGCGGGUUUU